AGUGAACGCUGGCGGUAGGCCUAACACAUGCAAGUCGAACGGCAGCACAGUAAGAGCUUGCUCUUACGGGUGGCGAGUGGCGGACGGGUGAGGAAUACAUCGGAAUCUACUUUUUCGUGGGGGAUAAUGUAGGGAAACUUACGCUAAUACCGCAUACGACCUACGGGUGAAAGCAGGGGAUCUUCGGACCUUGCGCGAUUGAAUGAGCCGAUGUCGGAUAGCUAGUUGGCGGGGUAAAGGCCCACCAAGGCGACGAUCCGUAGCUGGUCUGAGAGGAUGAUCAGCCACACUGGAACUGAGACACGGUCCAGACUCCUACGGGAGGCGGCAGUGGGGAAUAUUGGACAAUGGGCGCAAGCCUGAUCCAGCCAUACCGCGUGGGUGAAGAAGGCCUUCGGGUUGUAAAGCCCUUUUGUUGGGAAAGAAAAGCAGCAGGUUAAUACCCCGCUGUUCUGACGGUACCCAAAGAAUAAGCACCGGCUAACUUCGUG
This 491-nucleotide ribosomal RNA is filed under the name uncultured bacterium. Its description in RNAcentral is "partial 16S ribosomal RNA". It matches the Rfam family "Bacterial small subunit ribosomal RNA", at positions 29 to 507 of the family's 1533-position model. The record is from RNAcentral.